GAUCGGAUGGUCUAACGGCAUGACACCCUAUUUCUGCUAAUUGCAUGUCCGGGGCAGAGCGAGUUCGACUCUCGCACUGGUCA
Non-coding RNA from Exidia glandulosa HHB12029, 83 nucleotides. The record is from the annotation of a GenBank genome assembly. Lineage: Eukaryota; Fungi; Basidiomycota; Agaricomycetes; Auriculariales; Exidiaceae.